UUGACAACCAAUUCAUAUAAUCCUCAAUAAGUUUCGGCAAAACUUGAUCUGUAAUGCCAUAUCCUUCGAACGGGAAAUGGAGUUGAGCCGUAUCCUUCAAUUUCUCUUUUCCCUUCUUGCUUGACCCAAAAGAAUUACAAUAUGGAGAUUGAAUAUUUCUCUAAGACAUUCUGUUUCUAUGCGCAGGAGUGACUGAAUUGGUUCUAACUCCAAUCUCAGCUAUUGGAAUGUCAGUGGGUAAUUGACUGUCGGUCAACAAGUACUGGCUGCUAGUUAUAUUCUGUGGAUUGUAAGAAUAUAAUAGUCUAGCAUUAGUAGGAUCUUUCCCCAAAUCUUUGAUAAGUGCAUCUAUUGCUGCUUGAGUUGAUAGCGAUAUUGUUAUUGAAGUGGAAGAUUCCGAUGCAUCCAUUAUUGUUUUAUCGAGCAAAACGUGAGGAAUGUUGUGUUGAACAUUGUCAUCAACAACUUGCUCCAUGAUAUGUUCAUUUAAAUCUUGGUGCGA
Molecule: unclassified non-coding RNA, 502 nt
Filed under: Hevea brasiliensis (rubber tree)
Lineage: Eukaryota; Viridiplantae; Streptophyta; Magnoliopsida; Malpighiales; Euphorbiaceae
Source: RNAcentral